RNAcentral lists this ribosomal RNA (254 nucleotides) under uncultured bacterium. Its description in RNAcentral is "partial 16S ribosomal RNA". It matches the Rfam family "Bacterial small subunit ribosomal RNA", at positions 524 to 776 of the family's 1533-position model. The record is from RNAcentral.
UACAGAGACUGCAAGCGUUAUUCGGAUUCACUGGGCGUAAAGGGUGCGCAGGCGGCCGGGUGUGUCAGAUGUGAAAUCCCGAGGCUCAACCUCGGAACUGCGUCUGAAACUACUCGGCUAGAGUACUGGAGAGGGUAACGGAAUUCACGGUGUAGCAGUGAAAUGCGUAGAUAUCGUGAGGAACACCAGAGGCGAAGGCGGUUACCUGGACAGUUACUGACGCUCAGGCACGAAAGCAUGGGGGAGCAAAAGGG